UUUGGCACGACACCUGAUGGUUUCUCCCUCCUGGUCGCUGUAUGCCACUGUGCCAAUUAAAUCACUGCUGUAACAGCGGUGCAGCAUCCGGCGCCGCUGUAUAUAUAAACAGGUGGCUGGCUUCACCUCAGUCUCAUGCUUUCCGCUCUGAACUCUCCUCGUGGAGGUGACUGCAGCCGGGCGUGCUCGAUCUGGCGUGGUAAAUCGGGGCGCACGUCACAUCGCUGGUACAGGCAAUGGGCUUUUCCAUUUAACUUUCUGUAAUGUGCGGCGCACGUAGUGACGGCUUUUUUUCCCGCUCUGUUGCGUAGCGACGGCUGUGACGCUGGGAGACGGGUCGCCCUGCUCAGCGUGCCGUGGGUGCAUCCGUGUUGGCGGGCAUAACUGCCGCGGUUGUUGGCAAGUCUCCUCCGCCUGCUUGCUGUCACGGCUAAUCGGGCUGCUGUGAAGCGUGUGGCCUGUGGGACGCCACCGCUUCCCUGGACUGGCUGCUGUUUCGGCUCUUUUCCUACGGCUGUUUCGGCUCUUGUCUUUUUCUACGGCUGUUUCGGCUCUCUGUGCAGCUCUCUUGUCGACGUGUUGUGUCGGCUCGUUCUCUCUGUGGCUCUUUGCUUCAGCGUAGUAGUUUUAUUGCAUUGUACUUUCGGCACUAAAGCCUUAGGCUUUGUAACGCUGUUAUAUCGCCUUAUAUUGUAUAUGCAUUUUAACUAUUGUUCUGUGGAGUGAGUGUGUGUGCGUGUUUUAUGAUUAUGUGUAUCGGUCUGGUCACCAGGCUUCUGUUAAGUUAGCUUUACUAAUAAUUUGUUUCUUUUGUGCAGGUUCGGCAAGCCUCGGCGGCAGUCCAAUCCCUGGUGGUGGUUUCACAAGUCCUCUUUUUCGUUGGUGUGUCAUGUCACAGGCAUACCCAUUUCUUGCAACAGAUGAGAAUACUUGGGACACAAAAGUUAAGAUGAGGUAUGUGAAAUUGCAAAUCACAUUUCAGGUGGAAACACUGUAC
Molecule: long non-coding RNA, 997 nt
Organism: Amphiprion ocellaris (clown anemonefish)
Lineage: Eukaryota; Metazoa; Chordata; Actinopteri; Pomacentridae
Source: Ensembl